RNAcentral lists this long non-coding RNA (356 nucleotides) under Salmo salar (Atlantic salmon). Its description in RNAcentral is "lncRNA (ENSSSAG00000100438.1, ENSSSAG00000106559.1, ENSSSAG00020081584.1, ENSSSAG00075017821.1)". Lineage: Eukaryota; Metazoa; Chordata; Actinopteri; Salmoniformes; Salmonidae. The record is from RNAcentral.
UGAAGAGGGUGUGAUUUUUAAAGAUCAUUUUGCAGUAAGUCCAACCGGCCUCACAACCGCAGACCACGUGCAACCACACCAGCCACAUCCGGCUUCUUCACCUGCGGGAUCGUCUGAGACCAGCCACACGGACAGCUGAUGAAACUGAGGAGUAUUUAUAUCUGUAAUAAAGACAUUUUCGAGCAACAACAAAAAAAUCUGAUUGGCUGGGCCUGGCUCCCCAGUAUGUGGGCCUAUGCCCUCCCAGGUCCACCCAUGGCUGCCUCCCUGCCCAGUCAUGUUACAUUUAUUUCAAUUGACUGAUUUCCUUGUAUGAACUAUAACUCAGUAAAAUCGUUGAAAUUGUUGGAUGUUGG